This 401-nucleotide long non-coding RNA is filed under the name Dromaius novaehollandiae (emu). Its description in RNAcentral is "lncRNA (ENSDNVG00000007042.1)". The record is from RNAcentral. Lineage: Eukaryota; Metazoa; Chordata; Aves; Casuariiformes; Dromaiidae.
AAACUGAUUUGGGGUGCUAAGCUUCUGCUCUGGUAGCACAGAAACCAGUGUGUGCUGCAAUGCCUACCCAAGAAGCUCAGAACUGGACUGAAUCAACAAUGACUUAAAAGUUUUCAAUCUUCCUAGAAUUUGAUGGAUGCUCCCCCUGUCGAAUUUUGGAGCUGUCAGUGGGUGGCUCGCUCUCCUAGCAGUUGGCCUUCUGCUUCUGAGAUCUGUGAUCUGAAAGAAUCUCUCAAAAAAACAUUGCUGUAGUCUGUGGACACCAUUUACACCUCAGCACUCCAAGACAGAUAGGCAUUUUUACACCUCCACAUCGCCACAAAAGAGAGGAAUGGAGAGGAGGCAGCUGUACCACUAGUGGGAAGUACAGUGGCAGUGAAGCUGUGUGCUUCUCUGAAGCG